This 440-nucleotide ribosomal RNA is filed under the name uncultured Herminiimonas sp. Its description in RNAcentral is "bacterial SSU rRNA". It matches the Rfam family "Bacterial small subunit ribosomal RNA", at positions 358 to 790 of the family's 1533-position model. The record is from RNAcentral. Lineage: Bacteria; Pseudomonadati; Pseudomonadota; Betaproteobacteria; Burkholderiales; Oxalobacteraceae.
GGAAUUUUGGACAAUGGGCGCAAGCCUGAUCCAGCAAUGCCGCGUGAGUGAAGAAGGCCUUCGGGUUGUAAAGCUCUUUUGUCAGGGAAGAAACGGUGGACUCUAAUACAGAUCACUAAUGACGGUACCUGAAGAAUAAGCACCGGCUAACUACGUGCCAGCAGCCGCGGUAAUACGUAGGGUGCAAGCGUUAAUCGGAAUUACUGGGCGUAAAGCGUGCGCAGGCGGUUUGGUAAGACAGAUGUGAAAUCCCCGGGCUCAACCUGGGAAUUGCAUUUGUGACUGCCCGACUGGAGUGUGUCAGAGGGGGGUAGAAUUCCACGUGUAGCAGUGAAAUGCGUAGAGAUGUGGAGGAAUACCGAUGACGAAGGCAGCCCCCUGGGAUAACACUGACGCUGAGAGACGAAAGCUAGGGGAGCGAAUGGGAUUAGAUACCCGAG